CAUGCGAGUCAUUGUAGCAAUACAAGGCAGACGGCUCAGUAGCGCGUAGUCAAUCUACCCUGUUGACGGGGAUAACCUCGGGAAACUGAGAAUAAUACCCGAUAGAACAUUAUGCCUGGAAUGGUUUAUGUUUCAAAUGAUUUAUCGCAAUAGGAUGGGACUGCGGCCUAUCAGUUUGUUGGUGAGGUAAUGGCCCACCAAGACUAUUACAGGUACGGGCCCUGAGAGGAGUGGCCCGGAGAUGGGUACUGAGACACGGACCCAGGCCCUAUGGGGCGCAGCAGGCGAGAAAACUUUGCAAUGUGCGAAAGCACGACAAGGUUAAUCCGAGUGGUUUCUGCUAAAGAAACCUUUUGUCAGUCCUAGAAACACUGAUGAAUAAGGGGUGGGCAAGUUCUGGUGUCAGCCGCCGCGGUAAAACCAGCACCUCAAGUGGUCAGGAUGAUUAUUGGGCCUAAAGCAUCCGUAGCUUGUUUUGUAAGUUUUCGGUUAAAUCCAUACGCUUAACGUAUGGGCUGCCGGGAAUACUGCAUAACUAGGAAGUGGGAGAGGUAGACGGUACUCGGUAGGAAGGGGUAAAAUCCUUUGAUCUAUUGAUGACCACCUGUGGCGAAGGCGGUCUACCAGAACACGUUCGACGGUGAGGGAUGAAAGCUGGGGGAGCAAACCGGAUUAGAUACCCGGGUAGUCCCAGCUGUAAACUAUGCAAACUCAGUGAUGCAUUGGCUUGUGGCCAAUGCAGUGCUGCAGGGAAGCCGUUAAGUUUGCCGCCUGGGAAGUACGUACGCAAGUAUGAAACUUAAAGGAAUUGGCGGGGGAGCACCACAAGGGGUGAAGCCUGCGGUUCAAUUGGAGUCAAC
Molecule: ribosomal RNA, 860 nt
Filed under: uncultured archaeon
Lineage: Archaea
Description: bacterial SSU rRNA
Rfam family: Archaeal small subunit ribosomal RNA
Source: RNAcentral